RNAcentral lists this ribosomal RNA (706 nucleotides) under uncultured Bacilli bacterium. Its description in RNAcentral is "bacterial SSU rRNA". It matches the Rfam family "Bacterial small subunit ribosomal RNA", at positions 56 to 747 of the family's 1533-position model. Lineage: Bacteria; Bacillati; Bacillota; Bacilli. The record is from RNAcentral.
UGCAAGUAGAACGCUGAAGAGAGGAGCUUGCUCUUCUUGGAUGAGUUGCGAACGGGUGAGUAACGCGUAGGUAACCUGCCUGGUAGCGGGGGAUAACUAUUGGAAACGAUAGCUAAUACCGCAUAAAAUGGAUUAUCGCAUGAUAAUGCAUUGAAAGGUGCAAAUGCAUCACUACCAGAUGGACCUGCGUUGUAUUAGCUAGUUGGUGGGGUAACGGCUCACCAAGGCGACGAUACAUAGCCGACCUGAGAGGGUGAUCGGCCACACUGGGACUGAGACACGGCCCAGACUCCUACGGGAGGCAGCAGUAGGGAAUCUUCGGCAAUGGACGGAAGUCUGACCGAGCAACGCCGCGUGAGUGAAGAAGGUUUUCGGAUCGUAAAGCUCUGUUGUAAGAGAAGAACGAGUGUGAGAGUGGAAAGUUCACACUGUGACGGUAUCUUACCAGAAAGGGACGGCUAACUACGUGCCAGCAGCCGCGGUAAUACGUAGGUCCCGAGCGUUGUCCGGAUUUAUUGGGCGUAAAGCGAGCGCAGGCGGUUAGAUAAGUCUGAAGUUAAAGGCUGUGGCUUAACCAUAGUACGCUUUGGAAACUGUUUAACUUGAGUGCAAGAGGGGAGAGUGGAAUUCCAUGUGUAGCGGUGAAAUGCGUAGAUAUAUGGAGGACACCGGUGGCGAAGCGGUUCUCUGGCUUGUAACUGACGCU